RNAcentral lists this ribosomal RNA (252 nucleotides) under uncultured bacterium. RNAcentral describes it as "partial 16S ribosomal RNA". It matches the Rfam family "Bacterial small subunit ribosomal RNA", at positions 524 to 776 of the family's 1533-position model. The record is from RNAcentral.
UACGUAGGUCCCGAGCGUUGUCCGGAUUUAUUGGGCGUAAAGCGAGCGCAGGUGGUUUAUUAAGUCUGGUGUAAAAGGCAGUGGCUCAACCAUUGUAUGCAUUGGAAACUGGUAGACUUGAGUGCAGGAGAGGAGAGUGGGAUUCCAUGUGUAGCGGUGAAAUGCGUAGAUAUAUGGAGAAACACCGGUGGCGAAAGCGGCUCUCUGGCCUGUAACUGACACUGAGGCUCGAAAGCGUGGGGAGCAAACAGG